CCUACGGGUGGCAGCAGUGGGGAAUAUUGGGCAAUGGGCGCAAGCCUGACCCAGCAACGCCGCGUGAAGGAAGAAGGCCCUCGGGUUGUAAACUUCUUUUGUCAGGGACGAAACAAAUGAUGGUACCUGACGAAUAAGCCACGGCUAACUACGUGCCAGCAGCCGCGGUAAUACGUAGGUGGCAAGCGUUAUCCGGAUUUACUGGGUGUAAAGGGCGUGUAGGCGGGAGAGCAAGUCAGAUGUGAAAUUCCAGGGCUCAACCCUGGAACUGCAUUUGAAACUGUUUUUCUUGAGUGAUGGAGAGGCAGGCGGAAUGCCGUGUGUAGCGGUGAAAUGCGUAGAUAUACGGAGGAACACCAGUGGCGAAGGCGGUCUGCUGGACAGCAACUGACGCUGAGGCGCGAAAGCGUGGGGAGCAAACAGGAUUAGAUACCCUUGUAGUC
This 443-nucleotide ribosomal RNA is filed under the name uncultured bacterium. Its description in RNAcentral is "partial 16S ribosomal RNA". It matches the Rfam family "Bacterial small subunit ribosomal RNA", at positions 338 to 795 of the family's 1533-position model. The record is from RNAcentral.